Molecule: RNA transcript, 818 nt
Organism: Nomia melanderi (Alkali bee)
Lineage: Eukaryota; Metazoa; Arthropoda; Insecta; Hymenoptera; Halictidae
Gene: RpS24
Gene name: ribosomal protein S24
Source: RefSeq, a predicted model, not a curated record
GUUACGAAAGAAUCUUCAAUGUAGAUAGCGCUUCAUGUUUCCGUAAAUGUCCUUUUGCUGGCGGUACAAUAAUCGAGCAAAAUGACGGAAGGUGCAGUUACGAUUAGAACUAGAAAGUUUAUGAGCAAUCGGCUAUUAUGUCGGAAGCAAAUGGUUGUAGAUGUUUUUCAUCCUGGCCAUCCGUCAGUUCGCAAAACAGAAAUAAGAGAAAAACUAGCCAAGAUGUAUAAAGUUACACCAGAUGUGGUAUUCGUAUUUGGUUUUCAAACUAACUUUGGUGGUGGCAAAUCUACUGGAUUUGCAUUAAUCUAUGAUACAUUGGAUUACGCAAAGAAAUUUGAACCAAAAUAUAGGUUAGCAAGGCAUGGACUCUUCGAAAAACAAAAGCAAACAAGGAAACAACGUAAAGAACGUAAGAACAGGAUGAAGAAAGUUAGGGGUACAAAGAAGAGUAAAGUAGGAGCUGCAGCUAAAAAGGGAAAGAAGUAGACAAAUGCUCAUCAUUUGUACUACAAGCCUCGAGAGGGAACUUUAUUAUGAUGCUCAUACAUGUAAAACCACAAGAUAUCAUGAAGACCACGAUUUGUCUAACAUCGACGUAAAAAUUAUUAUAAUAAUAUAUUGCUAAAGAAUAAUGAUUAUGAUAAGUUUUACGGAAUAAACGUGUACUCUUCCUGAUAAAAAAGAUGUAAUGCUGUAUAUUUCUUUUCACUCCUCAUGCUGUUACACAAAAAAGCCAUACAUUUGUGAAUAUAUGUACUCUAAGAAUGCAAAAUAGUUUAUUUUAAUAAAAAAGAAUCACACAUGUUUUUAAGAAA